Non-coding RNA from Paramuricea clavata, 1481 nucleotides. NCBI's taxonomy places the organism in Eukaryota, Metazoa, Cnidaria, Anthozoa, Malacalcyonacea, Plexauridae. The record is from the annotation of a GenBank genome assembly.
AAGCAACCAUUUUGAGUUUUUGACAGCAUGCAUGGCGCCGAGAACAAACAUCGAGAAAUUAUUUAUAUUCAUGAUAACUUGACAGGACAGGAGGUUGUAUACGGUAUAAAUACAUUAUGGAAUAUUGACUGUUCACAUUUUCAUAUAUUUACUGAGCUUGAACUUUGGCAGUUACGUCGUACCUUUCAAUGAUUUAUUCACAGUAUACGCCUGAGUUUUAAUAUACAAAUGACUGGAAAGUUGGGUGAGUAUACGAUUAAAAUACAUUUUGAAAUAAUGUAUAACUUGUAGCUGCAUUUUAAAAUUGAUCUAAUUGUAACUCUGUACGUUUAAAUCCUUUGGAUUCCGAGAACAUUUGUUCGUCUAUUUUUGUUUAUUAAAAUUGCCCUUCGUAUUAAAAGUAUACGAAACACGAUUACUGGUAAAUUUAAUUAUAAAAUAACAUGUAUAUAACGCGUAUUCUGAUUGGUCGAAACCCGUGUUUGGAUAAGGCCAUCCAAACACGGAAGACUAUCGUGUUGUUGUUAUUUUAUAAAACAAUUACUUUAUGGUUUCCCUGUUUGGAUGGAAUGAUCCAAACACUUGGGAAUGUUGCUCGAGUUAAGAAAAGCGGGCAAAAUCACUCGCCUUCGGCUCGUGAUUUCGCUCGCUUUUCUUAACCCUCGCAACAUUCUCGCGUGUUUGGAUCAGGCCAUCCAAACACGGAAAUCAUAAAGUAAUUGUAUAAUCCUCUCAUCCAAAUAUUAAUAUUCAUAUUUAUUAUGCUAUAAUUACAAGUGUUUAUUUAAAAUUAUAAUAAUUAUAAUUUAAUAUUAUAGGCGAAGCUAAAUAAAUAAAUAAAUAAAUAAAAUAAAUAAAAGAGGAGUUAAAAGGCAUUUGCGGGGCUUAUCAUUUCUUAAAUCUGCUAAUUUUGUUGAUUUAUAGCUCAAAGAAUCGCCUUGUGGGCUGGCAAAACCUUUCUCUAAAUGCUUGAAGAUUUGUGUGUAUGUGGAAACGUGUGUGAUGAUGGGCAAAGAGGUAAUUGCAGUAUAAAUGUUAUUUGAUUGCUUUUCGUGUGCAGUGACGUCCAUAUCUGUUGCAACUACUUCCCCCUCUAUACAAAAUUCGCAAAGCCAUUAUGAUAAAUUCCUAUAACAUGAUGUUGCUGAUUAUUCUUAAGCCCACUGAGCUUGUGUCAUGCCGAUGGUAAAUUAACCAAAUGUUGUUUCAGGCUUGUUCACAACAUUGAACUGGGAGAGAGGGGUGACCAAGUUUGUUUUGCUAAUGUACAUUAGUAUUAGCAGGAAUGCUCGCCUGUAUUAUAUAUCCAAUAUUGUAGUUUGGAGAUCCUAGCAGAAGCUCAUGAUAUCGCCAUGAAACCAACUUCAUGUAGUUUCGCGUUCAUUCAUACAGUAUGUACUGUAUGAAUGAUUGUCAUAAAGGGUUUGUGAAUACAUAUACAUAUAAGUAAUUGUAAUACUGUAUGGCAAACAGUAAAGGCA